This is a long non-coding RNA of Astatotilapia calliptera (eastern happy), 3682 nucleotides long. The record is from Ensembl. Lineage: Eukaryota; Metazoa; Chordata; Actinopteri; Cichliformes; Cichlidae.
UUUUGUUGAUUGUUUAAGACAAAUGACUACUGAAUGAUAGGAAAUUCCUUUUUAGGUUUCUAAACAGGAUCUUAAGAAUUUUAACACGUACCUGUGUUGUCCUGUCAACUUGAGGGGUUAUGAGUUGAUUAUAUGGAAAAAAAAAAAAAAAAAAAAAAAAAAAAAAAAAGGGGGGGACGAGAUCUCGUUGUUUCUCCCCUCUCGGGAUAACACAGCCAACACAGCACAGCCAACACAACAUCAUUUUCCUGUUCGCCUGUUUUGUUUUGUUUUUGUUUUUUCUGAGAGCCGAAGCUGACCUGGACUCCUACCCUCCCCUCUACCAUCGUUGCCCUCUCCGCGACCAUCUUUGACCCUUUGACCCCUGAAGGCCACAGCAGCUGGACUCACAACAACAACUUGAGGAUGUCAACAGUGCUGCAAAAGAGUGAUCUCAUGCAGCAGAGACGGAGAGCACUAAACCUAAAGCCCGUUUCACUACACGGGGGAAAUUCCCAGGCUGCGUCAGCUGACAGAGCUGUGACGAGACGCGCAUUAAGCCCGGAGGAAAAGGGACGGUGAGCAGAAGGAUGCUGACCUCUGAGAAGAGCCGAACAGCAGAGCUGCAGAAGGCCGUGGAGCAAAGUAAGGACAACAUAAACAGACCCAAAGAGGAGGGGAGGACCCUAGGCCAUGCGUCAGGCCGCUGGUUUACCUAAACUACAGAACAGAAAGGUGAUGAACACAAACAUAUACCAACACACGAACACACACUUCUGCAUGCGCCUACUUAGAAUGAAGGGAAACACACACAUGAACACUUAUGCACUUGUUGAGGGAGUAAAAACUGAUACAUACCCAUGCACUAAAAUCAAAAUGUUGAUUUAAUUUACUAAGAAGUGACACACAAUGCUCUAGCUGCUGCAAUGAAGAAUGCUUUACUGACAAAGGCUCAAUGCUGCACACAACAAAGUCAAAUACAGAAUUUGCUAUAAUAAUAAGCCCAGAGGGCAUUUGUGUGGUCUGGGGAGCAGAGUCCGGAGCGGUUUGGUUAUGAAAAUGAUGCCCGUGCGAGAUAUCUGGGGCUUAAGGCCUCGACUUAAUUGUUUACUCUACACUAAAAAGAAAAGAAAACACUCUGAGCAGUGGCGCAGAGUGAAAACGAGGAAUUAACAGUGUGAGUUUUAUUUCAGAGCGCCACGUCAUUGUGAUGGAGAUUUAAUAAAGGAGGAACACACGGACAAAGAAGAAGAGAAGGGGGGGCAGCUCUUGAACGCGAUUGCCUGAGGCAUUAAAGUUCUGUACUAAAUUCUGGUUUCCAGUGUGAGAAAAGUCACGCAGUGCCAGUAGUAGAGCUAGGUUGAGUGAUGAUUCUAAAUUACUAUCUGCACAUCGGAAAUUACAAGCAUUACACGUCGGCGAGAAAAUUGUUGUAAGUGAGUUUCUCCGCAUUGAAAUGGGUUCUGGAGGAAACACUUGUGGGGACAAUUAGAAACGAGAGUCCCUGUUUAAAAAAGGAUUCGGCGAGGUAAUCCAAACUCAAGUUCUUGUUUCUUUUUGAGAUGACGUCAUUUUGCUGAGUGUGGAAACUAGAUGCGACGACAGGUUUCACUAUCAGCAAAGAACGGAUGAAUGGAUGAAAGACUGGGAAUAAAAACAAACGGACUGACUGGUAAGAGAUGACAAGACUUGACCAUGACUCAAGGUUAACCACCUCCACCUAGAUAGGAUAAAAGGGUGGAUGAAUUUAUGUGGGUUUCUUUUACAGGAGUAGAAGGAUGACAAAAUAUUCGAGGAUGAGUGAACCUGUAAAUGCCAUUUUUGUGUCUUGUGUUGCUUACAGAGGUAACUGCGCAGCGUUACCAUUUACAUUUUCUUCCCUACAGGGUUACAGUUUUAAUGUUUUUCUAUUACAGGAUUUCUGGGCGGAUGUGUGAAGAAACGGUGUUUAUGGGUUAGGAGUUGGGGAUGCUAUUACACUGUAUUCUGGUGAGAGUGUUGGGGGAGACACACCCUGUCUUGAAAACUGUGAUUCUUUUACAGGAAAUGUUUUAUAGCACCUAUGGAAUGAGGAUGCCUGACUACGGUCAAUGUGCUGCUAAUGUUUGCUUUGCUUUGGUGAGAGGGGUGCAGUAGAAAACAGACAAGUGACAUGAAAACAAGUAAUAAUAACAAAUAACAAAUUUGGGGACAGUUUGACCUAGAGCCCACUAACUGGCCAUUAGGGGCUCUCUCUCUCUCUCUCUCUCUCUCUCUCUCUCUCUCUCUCUCUCUCUCUCUCUCUCUCUCUCUCUCUCUCUCUCUCUCUCUCAGGUUGUUGCUCUUUAACUCCUAGAACACGCCCUUGGCGAGGUGGGGGGAACUGGACCACCUUUCUGUGCCCCAUCAUCCUCUAUUAGACGACAUCCAAGCUAAGUAAACAUGUCUUGGCCCUUUCCCCCUGAAAUGACAGGCAGGCAAAGAUGUUGCGUCUUUGUUUGCUUCCUGGCCCUGGGUCUCAUUCCCAUUGGCAUAAUCCUGAUCUGUGAAGGGCCCCCGACACUUCUGACACCUUCAAGUUCAAAAGCUUCGCCCCCUUCUGACAGUCCCAAUCUGACAAAUGUAGCCCCUAGGGUCUUGCCCACCACUUCCUCUCCAGUUUUGCCCACGCCCGAUCCAUUUAGAAAGAAACGAGACACGGUUACCUCCUCGCCAACGGAUGAUGAAAACUCUGAUCGUGAGGGUGACGAACAUUAUCGUCUUUCUCUUGUUUAAAUUCUUCUAGAAUGGUUGUUUCUCUGUGGUGUUUUGUAUUAGGCUUGUUAUUAAUUGUUUCCCUCACCCACUUCCUCUUGAAGGAUAUAUCUGGUUGAACUGUGUCUGGUCGGGUUGUGAGGGUUAAGCGAUGUUCUCAGGGUCUCCGGACUUAAGCCUGAGCGAAUGUGUACUCCCACCAAUGGAUAUGAAUUGUUUUUUUUUUCCACACCCCUUCCUCACGUUUUACCAUAUUCACUUUUGAAUGUCCUUAGCAGUUACCGUUCUGGGUUUAUUUUACGGUUGAUUUAUUCUUUCACAUUUUCACGUUUAUAUCUCUCAUUAUUAUAGUAGACUCUGUACUCUCCACAUUUUUAUCAUUACUUAUGCUUUUUGGUUGCUGAGUUACAGGAACUGUUAAUUUUGUGUCACUACCCUGGUUGCACUAACUCGUUGUAUCCGUGUGUGCAGGACAGCUGUUACUGCUUUCAUCGGGAACCGAGACUGCUUGCAGCCGACCCCUGGGCAGGGUGGUGCCUGGACUCUUUUCUCCUCAUCUGCAAUGACAGAUAAAGACAAAUGAUAAGACCCGAGGAGUUUUUCGAGCCAGGCUUCGACACGUCUCUGUGUUCCUUUGAAUGUUACUUAUGUUUGUGUGUUGACCCAUUUAAGAUGGGUCAAAAGGGGGAUUUGAAGAAAAUAUAAUCUGAUCAAACACUAUUCAGCUUUAAAUAUUGUUCAGCUUUAAAGUUACUGUGCAACUGUGUAAUAAAAAUAUGUGCUCACGACUUUGGCCUUGAGAGCGAUAAGAAGCGAUCGCCUCAUUCUGCAGGUGCAAGAUAUCUGCAAGCGAAGACACUAGAACACCCAAGGCCGCUUUCCUUUUAUGGAGUUGUUUUUCUGCUAAUGCAGCACUGUCCUCACAACCUCCUCCUGUAAGUUUUAGAGAAUAUAUACCCAUCCUCACAGC